Molecule: ribosomal RNA, 388 nt
Filed under: Chlorodendrales sp.
Lineage: Eukaryota; Viridiplantae; Chlorophyta; Chlorodendrophyceae; Chlorodendrales
Description: partial small subunit ribosomal RNA
Rfam family: Eukaryotic small subunit ribosomal RNA
Source: RNAcentral
AUUCCAGCUCCAAUAGCGUAUAUUUAAGUUGUUGCAGUUAAAAAGCUCGUAGUUGGAUUUCGGAUGGGAUCUGCCGGUCCGCCCUUGAGGUGUGUACUGGUAGGUCCUAUCUUGUUGUCGGGGACUAGCUCCUGGGCUUCACUGUCCGGGACUAGGAGCCGACGAAGUUACUUUGAGUAAAUUAGAGUGUUCAAAGCAAGCCUACGCUCCGAAUAUAUCAGCAUGGAAUAACACGAUAGGACUCUGGCUUAUCUUGUUGGUCUGUGAGACCAGAGUAAUGAUUAAGAGGGACAGUCGGGGACAUUCGUAUUUCAUUGUCAGAGGUGAAAUUCUUGGAUUUAUGAAAGACGAACUUCUGCGAAAGCAUUUGUCAAGGAUGUUUUCAUCG